RNAcentral lists this unclassified non-coding RNA (300 nucleotides) under Hevea brasiliensis (rubber tree). The record is from RNAcentral. Lineage: Eukaryota; Viridiplantae; Streptophyta; Magnoliopsida; Malpighiales; Euphorbiaceae.
AGCGGUGAGGGAUGGUAUGAACCUAACUCCUUAUGAGUACGUUGUCUGCAGGCAGGGAACCUCUGGAUCAGAUUAUAGCACAGAAACAAAUGGACCACAUAAAAGCAUGCUAGUCAUAUCAGAGUUCAUGGGAUGUUCCCCUUCUCUUAGUGGUGCAAUUCGGGUUAACCCAUGGAACAUUGAAGCUACUGCUGAAGCAUUGAAUGAGGCAAUAUCAAUGGCUGAUGCUGAAAAGCAAUUACGGCAUGAAAAGCACUAUAAAUAUGUGAGUACACAUGAUGUGGCAUACUGGUCAAGGAG